UACGGAGGGGGCUAGCGUUGUCCGGAAUUACUGGGCGUAAAGCGCUCGUAGGCGGCUUUGUAAGUCAGGGGUGAAAUCCCGAGGCUCAACCUCGGAACUGCCUUUGAUACUGCAAAUCUCGAGUCCGGAAGAGGUGAGUGGAAUUCCUAGUGUAGAGGUGAAAUGCGUAGAUAUUAGGAAGAACACCAGUGGCGAAGGCGGCUCACUGGUCCGGUACUGACGCUGAGGUGCGAAAGCGUGGGGAGCAAACAGG
Molecule: ribosomal RNA, 253 nt
Filed under: uncultured bacterium
Lineage: Bacteria
Description: partial 16S ribosomal RNA
Rfam family: Bacterial small subunit ribosomal RNA
Source: RNAcentral